Molecule: ribosomal RNA, 391 nt
Filed under: Chrysophyceae sp.
Lineage: Eukaryota; Chrysophyceae
Description: partial small subunit ribosomal RNA
Rfam family: Eukaryotic small subunit ribosomal RNA
Source: RNAcentral
AUUCCAGCUCCAAUAGCGUAUACUAAAGUUGUUGCAGUUAAAAAGCUCGUAGUUGGAUUUCUAAUCUCUCUUGGGGUUCCUUUUCUAAAGAAAUGUGCGACCAUUCAAGAGAGAUUAUCCUCGUGCCUAGCCUUUCUCACUUUCAUUAGUCAGGAAGGGGACGCACGUCAUUUACUGUGAGCAAAAUAGAGUGUUCAAAGCAGGCUUAGGCCAUGAAUAUAUUAGCAUGGAAUAAUAAGAUAGGACCUUGGUCUAUUUUGUUGGUUUACAUUCCAAGGUAAUGAUUAAUAGGGAUAGUUGGGGGUAUUCGUAUUCAAUUGUCAGAGGUGAAAUUCUUGGAUUUAUGGAAGACGAACUACUGCGAAAGCAUUUACCAAGGAUGUUUUCAUCG